Molecule: ribosomal RNA, 446 nt
Filed under: uncultured bacterium
Lineage: Bacteria
Description: partial 16S ribosomal RNA
Rfam family: Bacterial small subunit ribosomal RNA
Source: RNAcentral
CCUACGGGUGGCAGCAGUCGAGAAUCAUUCACAAUGGGGGAAACCCUGAUGGUGCGACGCCGCGUGGGGGAAUGAAGGUCUUCGGAUUGUAAACCCCUGUCAUGUGGGAGCAAAUUAAAAAGAUCGUACCACACGAGGAAGAGACGGCUAACUCUGUGCCAGCAGCCGCGGUAAUACAGAGGUCUCAAGCGUUGUUCGGAAUCACUGGGCGUAAAGCGUGCGUAGGCUGUUUCGUAAGUCGUGUGUGAAAGGCGCGGGCUCAACCCGCGGACGGCACAUGAUACUGCGAGACUAGAGUAAUGGAGGGGGAACCGGAAUUCUCGGUGUAGCAGUGAAAUGCGUAGAUAUCGAGAGGAACACUCGUGGCGAAGGCGGGUUCCUGGACAGUAACUGACGCUGAGGCACGAAGGCCAGGGGAGCGAAAGGGAUUAGAUACCCGAGUAGUC